Rana temporaria (common frog) is the source of this 1177-nucleotide long non-coding RNA. RefSeq lists it as uncharacterized. Lineage: Eukaryota; Metazoa; Chordata; Amphibia; Anura; Ranidae. The transcript is spliced from 5 exons. The record is from RefSeq and is a predicted model, not a curated record.
UCUGGCUUGGCAAUUUUUCCCUUUUCUGGGUUCACCUAUAUGUGGGACUAGCUUGAGCCCUAAUUAGUUCUGGAGGUAAUGCGCAUCCUUCCCAAUAAGCCACUACAGCCCUUUUCCAAACAUCAGCCCAUUCACAUCCCUGUUCAGGGUCUCUCUCCCCUUCUUAUUAGUGAUUUUUUGUUUGUCUUAAUUCUUUAUUAUAUUUUGACUUCUACAAUAUAAUAUCUACUGCUUUUGCUUUCAUGUUUGAUUGCUUGGUUUGUCUUGAUCAGUCAGCUUGCGGUCAUGGUCCACGCCGCUCUGUGUAUGUGUGACUGUUUUGGUGCUGCUGGCUGGCAAUCGCUCUCUUUUAGUGCUCUGUGUUCCUCCCCUCUGCACUCAUACGUUUCCUUCCUUUUUUCCUUUUUCUCCAGAGUGCGGCUCCGCUGAUUGGCCGGUGUCAUCAUAUGACACGGCUGCUUCAGCGCUAAGGAGUGUGGGAAUUGUAGGCAUCUCAGCGACCAUGUGACCUCUGAGAUCCAAUCGCGAUGCACCCGCCUCCCCAACAGGCUAUAUAUAGCAUGAUAUGAUCAUUAUCUGUCUGCUACCAACAGGGUACUGACAGAUGUCUUUAUUCCUCUUAAAGAUAGGAGAUUAUCUGUGGACUUUUCAGCUGCAAUUGACUGGUCCUUGAUUUUUGCUGCAAACGACUAUCCUUUGACUUUCUAUCACCAGCUGAUGUUUGCUUGCACUCAGACUGUUCAUCUAGUUAAAUACUCCAUAUGAAUUGAGGCUCUUCAGUGCCCAUGUUAUUGUCUUACUUAAUUCCCCUGUAUUCACCUUGAUUUUAUUACGCUUCAAGUCCUGUCAGUUGAACUUGGAUUUCAAUAUCCACCCUGAGGGGGUUUUUCCUUGACUGGCUGUGCAUGAAGCUAGGAGUAAUCUAGAGAGACGAUCUUGUCCUAAUUCCCCUGAAGAAGCCAAGUUGGCGAAACUAGUAGGGUCGACCUGAUCGAAAAAAUUAUUUCUAGAUCUUGCUCCCACAAAAUAAUCUAUGCACUAUCUGUAUAUUGAAUUACUAUAUUUUGUAAAAAUUGAAUGAAUAAACCUUUUUUAUAUAUUUUUAUAUAUACAUACAUACUUUGUCUGGUUUUCUUCAUCGCACCGCAAUAAUCCCCCCAACUCUUCCAAAAAAUUC